ACCAAGCAGCUCGUGUAAAUCUACCUAAACCAGUUCGCCAGGGCCUUACAUUAUAUACCAGCCACCGUCCGGCUCCGUAUACUGUCCGUAGCACGUCUAUGCAGCACAGCUCAGUUUUGUCGUCAGACAGUAUGCCUAGAAUAUUGUCUGUAACUUUAUAUUACAUUCUUUUUUAGUUUCAAGGCUUCGAGCUCAGCUCGAUCUUAUUAUUGUCAGAUCAGAGUGAGGACAAAUUGAAUUACAAUGGACAAUCAAGCAAUGAAGAAUCUUGGCUUUAAAAUAGGAGUAUCAUCUGCAAAAAUCUUGAGGAGAGCCCAGGAAUUGAACAGACUAAUCCAGUUACGCUGCAGUUCCUUGGCAUUGAAUGACUCUUGCCGUGCAGUCAUGUGUUUUGAAUUGGCGGCUACAGAACACAAACAUCCCAUCAACAAGGAGUCGGCUGUGCAACUCUCGGGUGUGAAUAAGAAAGUGUAUGCAAAUUCCUUCAAGACGUUACAGACAUUACUGGGCCUGAACCCAACUGUGACCAUCAGAGACCUUGCUGUCCAGUUUGGAUGUGUAGGAGUAAUUGAACAUGCAAACCAAGUCCUCCAGAGCUAUCACAAAGAGUUUGAGGACAAGGUUUCUGAAGCUGCUAGAGAUGAUGUUGAUUUCAGCAAACCUCUCUUUACUGGUGCUGCACUAUACACCAUAUGCAAACGUCAAAAGAUUAAAGUGGACAAGACGAAGCUUGUAGAGAUGACUGGUGCAAGAAGAGGCACAUUUGACAAGCUGUGUGCUGAGAUGGAGAAACAUGCCACCCAGCUGUUUGGUGAAAAGAAGUCUAAACAAUCUAAAAGACAUCAUUCAUGGAUGGAUGACUUAGAGAAAUCUUUUGAAGAUGGUGCGAGUCUACCGAAGCAAUCUAAGGGUGAUCAGGAUAGCAGCAGUUCAAAGCAGGACGAUUAUGAGGAAUGGAAGAGGAGAAUUCUUGAGGGAGUACCUGACACCAACAAGUGAAAUGCUUCUUACUGUGAAAUAAACUGAUCCAAGGGUCUCUGGCAUAUUGCUCAGGGGACCAUGGCUGUCGUACGCUAGGGACGAACGAUAUUCUUUGGACUUGUGCUGCCACACCCCGAUCAUCAUCCUAAUGUUACCUUACAUGUAAUCUCCAUCUGCAAUACAAACCCACUUCUGAUUUGCAGAUUUGUGAUAAAUAACAUGUGUGACUAGUUGAGUUUCAGCGUCCUGUGCUGACGUUUUUCAACAAGUACAGCACGGCAAAACACUAGCCGCCAAUUAAAAUGAUGAAGAAACAUCAUGAGUAGAGUCGUAACAAAUUCCAUCUGUGAUUAAACAACUCUCGCAACAUUUGUCAUGCCUUUCACCCAGUGUUGUUGGUUGUAGGAGGUAUUCUGUUUGGGGGUAAUCUGCCCCAUCUGUCCCAUUGUCAUUCUUGCAACAAUGAAGGAAACCGUUCAUUAGAUCAUGUGGAUCGUAAUCUUGCAGUAACUGAAGAACAGCUUUAUGGAUCAUGAUUGCUCAUGUGACUCAUGUAUGUAUAUGGGAGCAAUGAUGAUCUGAUAAGAUUUUGAAUUCAUAAUGUCAAAAGUUAUAGAGGUCAUUAUACUUGUUCUCACUAUAAAUGGAGUUAUUUGAGGGUUCGUCAAUUUUGGUUCAUGUGUAUGAAUAUUCUAGGGACAAUGAUCCAAGUACAUUUUGGGUCAUGAGGUCAAAGGUCACAAUAGAUGUCUGUACCUGAAAAUAUCACUGUCUUGCGAUAAUUCAAAGAAUCAUUUGAGUGAACAAAUCAAACUUGGCUGAUGUGACUAUGAUCUCAGUAGAUUUGGGGUCAAUGGUCACAAGGGGUCAUUUUAAAAUUUCAGAAGUUAGGUGUGAAAAAUAUUCUUGUUCCAGCUAUGGAGGAGGCGUAAACCUUAACUGUGUGUAUUUGGGAAACAUCUAGUUUUUAGAUAGUCAUAUUGUCUAUAGUGGAACUAUAAGUUUAACUAGUACAAACAGAGGUGUCAUAACAUUUCAUUUAGCUACAGUAAUAGUCAAUGAGGUAGAACUAAGUUAUUUUCUUAAAACAAUUAUUAUUUAUUCAUUUAUUUAUUUCGUUUUAUUUAUACACGGUAGCCCCAUCAGUAGUCUAGUACUGUUUUCCAGGGGGCCCUGCAAACAAAUAUAUACAAUAUAACAGACAAGCAAAUUACAUAAGGAAAUAACAAACAGAACAUGCAAAAUAAUCAAGUGAAUACAUGGAAAAAGAUGAUGGUACAUGAGUACAUUGUAAGGAAGUAACGUUUAUUCAUCUAGAUUUCAAUCAGCAUUACAAUACAGGAAAACAACCCCCCCUCCCCCUACAUUUCAAUUAUUUAAAUCAGGUAAAUCAAUGUAAUUGCUACUCUAUGUGAAUAGUACAUACGAAAAUUUACUUGUGGAAGCGAAAAUAAGCAAGUUUAGUGGGUUCUUUGAAAUUAACAGAGAAACUCAUAAUUAUUUUUAUGUCAUAUGUGACCCAUGUGUUGCAUGUAAUUAAGAUAAUACAUAUAUUACACUAUUAAAAAAGCGUAUAUCUCUGCUUCACAUACUGAUUUCUGCAUGUUGCAGAGAGUGAGGGGCUAUUUCCUGGAAGAGCACCCCUUCAAGUACUGGGAACAAAAAAGCAUUCUUACUACUAGCACUUCUCACUGAUGGGGGUAGGCUAUUCCAAAGUAAAGCAUCAUCGAUUGAUAGUACAUGUUUACCACAUUAUGCUUCAAAGAACUGAAAAUUGUGUGGGUUUCAUGUUCUAGUUUAAUGAUAAAAUGAUAUAGCUUAUUGUGGUUAUUCAAGAAUUAAAAAAAUAUAUAUAAAAAACAAAACAUGUAUUUGCUAUAUUUUUUUCAGACAUACUAGAUAAAUGUAAGUGCAGAAUCUCUUCUUCAAUUUGAGUCGAAAAUACUUUAAGAAAAUUGUCUAUGCAUUGUCACAACUGAGGCCUGUCAGGAACAAUUUGCACAGAAAAUCUGAACUAAAAGUAACCAUGGUUUUAGUUUACCUUGGGUUAACUCAGAACACACUUUUAUGGAGUAUUUUAAAACUGUCAACUUAUUCACUGGGUAGAAAUUAUUCUAAUCCUGUGUCAAGAAGUUUAAAAAAAUAAGUUGUGUCAUGAAAUGAGAAGAAUAGAAAAAUAAAAUGAAUUUUUGAAUUCAUUAGUUGUUACUAUCUUUGCCAUGAAGAAACAUGAUAAAACCCAGCAAUAGUAUCCAUAGAAGUGUGGUUCAAUAUUCAAGUCCAGACUAGGGUUCAAACUAGGUUUAAAAAUUAGAAAAUCCCACCCAGUCUUUAAAUAGUCAGGCGUUAGAAUAAAACAAACAUACCAAAGAACACACAGGAAAUGUUAUUGAGCCAUCCUUUAUUACAAUUGUCCAUUGUACCUUAAUUGAAUUAAUUCUAUGCAAUUUCAAACUCUUCUGGCUUAUGUAGACAUGGCACUUUAAUAUAUGUAUCAUGUUUGGUAACAAAAUAAAGAAUAAAAGCUACACUACUAUGUAAUUCUGAAAAUAAGAUAUUCAAAAUCAUUUGUCUGGGCUGGGAAAAAUGUCUGGAAAUCCUGAUUUUUGUCACGCCUGCAGCAAACUUUGGCCAUGUUGGGGGUAUUUGUGGAAUUGUCAUCAGAACUUCGAAAUUUUAAGGAUCUAAGGCAUGAAACUUGGACUUACGAGCAAUGAAGUAUCCUUGAAUAUCCUGUAUGAAUUUCAGGUCACAUGACAAUGGUCAAAGGUCAUAUAGUGCCGACAAACAAUAUGUUGGGAGUAUUUUUUUGAAUUACUAUCAUAACUUUGAAAGUUUGUGGAUCUAUUUCAUGAAACUUAGACAUAAGAGUUAUCAAGUAUUAUUGAACAGCCUGCGGGAGAUUCAGGUCACAUGACCAAUGUCAAAGGUCAUUCAAGGUCAAUAAAAUUUUGCCAUAUCAUGGGGAAUUGCCAUCAUGACUUGAAAGUUUUAUAUGGAUCUACUUAUGAAAUUUGGACUUAUUAUAAAGAGCAAUCAAGUAAUGUUGUUAUGUACAAGUCUUACGUCACAUUA
This 4056-nucleotide unclassified non-coding RNA is filed under the name Lytechinus variegatus (green sea urchin). RNAcentral's name for it is "origin recognition complex subunit 6-like, transcript variant X1". Lineage: Eukaryota; Metazoa; Echinodermata; Echinoidea; Temnopleuroida; Toxopneustidae. The record is from RNAcentral.